This 387-nucleotide ribosomal RNA is filed under the name uncultured bacterium. RNAcentral describes it as "bacterial SSU rRNA". It matches the Rfam family "Bacterial small subunit ribosomal RNA", at positions 29 to 416 of the family's 1533-position model. The record is from RNAcentral.
AUUGAACGCUGGCGGCAUGCUUUACACAUGCAAGUCGAGCGGCAGCGCGGGAGCAAUCCUGGCGGCGAGCGGCGAACGGGUGAGGAAUACAUCGGAACGUACCCCGGAGUGGGGGAUAACGCCGCGAAAGCGGCGCUAAUACCGCAUAUGCUCUGAGGAGGAAAGUGGGGGACUCGCAAGGGCCUCACGCUCUGGGAGCGGCCGAUGUCCGAUUAGCUAGNGGUGGGGUAAAGGCUUACCAAGGCGACGAUCGGUAGCUGGUCUGAGAGGAUGAUCAGCCACACUGGGACUGAGACACGGCCCAGACUCCUACGGGAGGCAGCAGUGGGGAAUUUUGGACAAUGGGGGCAACCCUGAUCCAGCCAUGCCGCGUGCGGGAAGAAGGCU